GACGAACGCUGGCGGCGUGCUUAACACAUGCAAGUCGAACGGAAAGGCCCUGCUUUUGUGGGGUGCUUGAGUGGCGAACGGGUGAGUAACACGUGAGUAACCUGCCCUUGACUUUGGGAUAACUUCAGGAAACUGGGGCUAAUACCGGAUAGGAGCUCCUGCUGCAUGGUGGGGGUUGGAAAGUUUCGGCGGUUGGGGAUGGACUCGCGGCUUAUCAGCUUGUUGGUGGGGUAGUGGCUUACCAAGGCUUUGACGGGUAGCCGGCCUGAGAGGGUGACCGGCCACAUUGGGACUGAGAUACGGCACAGACUCCUACGGGAGGCAGCAGUGGGGAAUAUUGCACAAUGGGCGGAAGCCUGAUGCAGCAACGCCGCGUGCGGGAUGACGGCCUUCGGGUUGUAAACCGCUUUCGCCUGUGACGAAGCGUGAGUGACGGUAAUGGGUAAAGAAGCACCGGCUAACUACGUG
This 468-nucleotide ribosomal RNA is filed under the name uncultured bacterium. Its description in RNAcentral is "partial 16S ribosomal RNA". It matches the Rfam family "Bacterial small subunit ribosomal RNA", at positions 28 to 507 of the family's 1533-position model. The record is from RNAcentral.